Molecule: ribosomal RNA, 1193 nt
Filed under: human gut metagenome
Description: bacterial SSU rRNA
Rfam family: Bacterial small subunit ribosomal RNA
Source: RNAcentral
AACUGAGACACGGUCCAGACACCUACGGGUGGCAGCAGUCGAGAAUCAUUCACAAUGGGGGAAACCCUGAUGGUGCGACGCCGCGUGGGGGAAUGAAGGUCUUCGGAUUGUAAACCCCUGUCAUGUGGGAGCAAAUUAAAAAGAUAGUACCACAAGAGGAAGAGACGGCUAACUCUGUGCCAGCAGCCGCGGUAAUACAGAGGUCUCAAGCGUUGUUCGGAAUCACUGGGCGUAAAGCGUGCGUAGGCGGUUUCGUAAGUCGUGUGUGAAAGGCGGGGGCUCAACCCCCGGACUGCACAUGAUACUGCGAGACUAGAGUAAUGGAGGGGGAACCGGAAUUCUCGGUGUAGCAGUGAAAUGCGUAGAUAUCGAGAGGAACACUCGUGGCGAAGGCGGGUUCCUGGACAUUAACUGACGCUGAGGCACGAAGGCCAGGGGAGCGAAAGGGAUUAGAUACCCCUGUAGUCCUGGCAGUAAACGGUGCACGCUUGGUGUGCGGGGAAUCGACCCCCUGCGUGCCGGAGCUAACGCGUUAAGCGUGCCGCCUGGGGAGUACGGUCGCAAGAUUAAAACUCAAAGAAAUUGACGGGGACCCGCACAAGCGGUGGAGUAUGUGGCUUAAUUCGAUGCAACGCGAAGAACCUUACCUGGGCUUGACAUGUAAUGAACAACAUGUGAAAGCAUGCGACUCUUCGGAGGCGUUACACAGGUGCUGCAUGGCCGUCGUCAGCUCGUGUCGUGAGAUGUUUGGUUAAGUCCAGCAACGAGCGCAACCCCUGUUGCCAGUUACCAGCACGUAAAGUCGGGGACUCUGGCGAGACUGCCCAGAUCAACUGGGAGGAAGGUGGGGACGACGUCAGGUCAGUAUGGCCCUUAUGCCCAGGGCUGCACACGUACUACAAUGCCCAGUACAGAGGGGGCCGAAGCCGCGAGGCGGAGGAAAUCCUAAAAACUGGGCCCAGUUCGGACUGUAGGCUGCAACCCGCCUACACGAAGCCGGAAUCGCUAGUAAUGGCGCAUCAGCUACGGCGCCGUGAAUACGUUCCCGGGUCUUGUACACACCGCCCGUCACAUCAUGGAAGCCGGUCGCACCCGAAGUAUCUGAAGCCAACCGCAAGGAGGCAGGGUCCUAAGGUGAGACUGGUAACUGGGAUGAAGUCGUAACAAGGUAGCCGUAGGGGAACCUGCGGCUG